Molecule: ribosomal RNA, 348 nt
Filed under: Triticum aestivum (bread wheat)
Lineage: Eukaryota; Viridiplantae; Streptophyta; Magnoliopsida; Poales; Poaceae
Description: partial small subunit ribosomal RNA
Source: RNAcentral
AUGUGUCGCCUCGAUCGUUCGAUUCAACCGCAGCUGCACUGCACUGCCCCUCCUCCGCCGCCUGUGACGCACAUUGUUGCGUCGCAUGCCCGCAUCCGCCAUCGGCAGCAUCGACGAUCUGUCAUCUUGGAUCUAGCAGAUCGAUCUCCCCGCGCCUAUUCGCUGCUUUGCCUCCAAUUGAGAAACGGCGGCCGCAGCGGCAGCACCGACGCACACAUAUCAGCCACCGAUUCCUGUGAUUGUUUUUUUCGACAUCCAGUAAAUUUUGAGUGUGGUUUGCAUUGGCUUGCUGGAAAACUUGUGAAGCAGUACAGAGAAAACAAGGUGAAUCUCGAUUCAUGCAUAUAA